GAUUCCGAUGGAAUCUCUGCCUCUCCUCUCCUAAUUCCACGCCCUCAGCUUGUGGACGUAUGAAACAUUACUGCUGCGAAUAGGCUGUACAAAUAUUCUGUCGCCACAAUCUAUGAGCAGUUGAUUAACAAUCAAUGUCACACUCAAUCAAUGGCCGUGCAAGAUAUCCUGAUUGGUAGAGAGUAGUCUGUUACUGCACUGAAUAAGUUAGGAUGCAAAUACUAUGAGCAAAAUCAAAACCCAUACCACAGAGUUGCAAGGUUUUAAAUGGUGUGCACCGAAUUGCUACAUUAGACUCGUAUCAGGCUUACAUUUUGCAACAUCACUCUUGCAUGCCCUAAACUCAGUUGAGGUUGCAAAUUUCCUUGACAAUAACACAAUUCAUCAUCUCAUGCAAUUUGGUGUCUUGUGUAAUUUGAUGUGUCGUGGGUCUGGUAGCAGAAAUUUCUCGAGCAAUUCCUAGGGUUCAGAUGCUGUUUCAUUUACAACAUUUACUAUUUGAAAUUGGUAUUUAAUCUCCAAGAUUGAUAGGUAUAUGUGAUUGUUGCUAUUUGAAAAUUGUUACUAAAUCUGCAUGAUUGAUCGCUAUACGUGAUUGAAUGGAUAAUAUGUUCAAGGAAUUUACUUGAGGUUGUAAAUGAUUUGUCAUUAUUAGUACUAAAAUGUUAACUCUACAGAACCUUUUUUGAUCAGCCAUCAGAUCGUAGUUGUAGUCUUGUGCCAUAACUCAGAAACUUAGUAUCAAGUAUAAUGUGAUGGUUGAUGCUGGCAACACCACAGGCAGCCUACAGUCAGUGUGAUGCUGGCAACACCACAAGAUCUAGGAUUAUAGGGUUUAAUUUUUUGGUCCUAAUCGAACACCGCUAAUAUAUAGCAGACUGAAAAUCUGAAUCAAUUUAAAUCCGCAGGGCCAGAAUAUUUAAUUUGAUAAAAAAUAACACCCAUAGUCUCUUGCAUACACUAUUUUCGAUUGUCCCACUUGUCAUCCUCUUUUGCGCGCCAUCUUGCAGCUCCACGAAUUCUUGCUUCUUAACCUCAUAUGUGUCUUUGUAGUCUCCACACACUGAAGUUUGGGUAUUUUAAUAUCUAAAGCACUACUGUGUUUUUGACCUCACUACUGUGUUUCAAUCUGCAGACUGAAAGAUACCAAUGCACAGCUACACUAAUUUCCAUCUCGGAUAAUCAACACUGGUGCUAUCGAGCUUGCAGAGUUUGUAACUCGAAAAUGAUUCCAGGCCCAGAUGGAUACCAGUGCACAAAAGUUAGUGGUUGCCCAUGCACGCAAUUUGAUUGGAAGUAAGAUUACUCCAAGUAAAUUAUGUUUGUUUGUACAUAGGCCAUCUUAGAUUUAAUAUUAUGACCACCUUCCAAGAGAAAAAUUACUGAGGUAUGAUACUAAAACUUCCACAGUUUACUGAUUACUGGAACUUCCAGUUUACCCUUCACUAUAUUUUCUAUCACUCAUGGUAAUAUUGUUGCAGGCUACAUCAUCACAAUCCGCACAGUACGCAGGCAUAAAAGACAUGGACAUAGAUCAACAAUCUUAUGCUUGGGAUCAGACUAAGAACCAUAACAACACUGAUGAUGAGAACGAUAAAACAGAAACAAAGAAGCUGAAGCUUCAAGAAUAAGACAAGCGCAAAUGGUUCUGGGGGAAGCAUUUUGGUCAGCAAAGACACUUGUUCUGGAAAUAAUAUUUUGGACUGCAAAGCCACGUGGGAGCUAGCUAUAAUUUAGACUACCAAUGUUAUAACUACAAGCACCAUUCUGGUAGCCUCAUAGUUAUAGCUCUCAAAAUGGUGAUCUUUUGCUUAGGGGGAUCUAAACUUAAAACCUCACUGUACUCCCUGCUAAUGGCUGUUCCUGUCAUCUACCAUUGUCUGCUGCUAGCUGUUGACAAAUGCAGCCACAUGAACACUGUAGCGACUGUGUAGUUUGUAUUUGCAAAGAGUCCUCUACUGGCCAGCGCGGCAAUGCCGCGACGCCUUUCUA
Molecule: long non-coding RNA, 1992 nt
Organism: Panicum virgatum (switchgrass)
Lineage: Eukaryota; Viridiplantae; Streptophyta; Magnoliopsida; Poales; Poaceae
Exons: 4
Source: RefSeq, a predicted model, not a curated record